UACGUAGGUGGCAAGCGUUGUCCGGAAUUACUGGGCGUAAAGCGUGCGCAGGCGGCGCGUUAAGACAGGUGUGAAAGCCCCGAGCUUAACUUGGGAAUUGCGCUUGUGACUGGCGUGCUGGAGUGUGGCAGAGGGAGGUGGAAUUCCACGUGUAGCAGUGAAAUGCGUAGAGAUGUGGAGGAACACCGAUGGCGAAGGCAGCCCCCUGGGCCAGCACUGACGCUCAUGCACGAAAGCGUGGGGAGCAAACAGG
RNAcentral lists this ribosomal RNA (253 nucleotides) under uncultured bacterium. Its description in RNAcentral is "partial 16S ribosomal RNA". It matches the Rfam family "Bacterial small subunit ribosomal RNA", at positions 524 to 776 of the family's 1533-position model. The record is from RNAcentral.